Molecule: long non-coding RNA, 9503 nt
Organism: Nycticebus coucang (slow loris)
Lineage: Eukaryota; Metazoa; Chordata; Mammalia; Primates; Lorisidae
Exons: 3
Source: RefSeq, a predicted model, not a curated record
GUGUCUGGCUUUCCAUCUGAUGGUGGAUUCCUAGAGGGGGCAGCCAGGCCAUUCUGAUCACCAAGUAUCUGUGUGUCGGACCCAUAGUACAAGUCAGGCUCAAGCUGGGAGUCCCCAGAAGCAGAUGCUAAGAAAGGAUUCAAGUCGCUCAUUUGGGAGGUGAUCUCAGAAUGUAAGGGAGCAGGGGCGUGAGACAGGGAAGGGAAGGCAGCCUGUACAGAAAGAUGUUUUGAGCAGGUCACUGCCGUGGGCACCUGGAACUCAGUCCCACUCGGGACUCGGGCUAGAACAUGCCUCCAAAUUAUUCCCACCAGGCGACAAGGAUACUGGGAACUUUAUCCACCAACUCUGUGGCCAGGUCGGCUAAAGGCCACUGCCAGGGCAUGGACUCUCAGGUUCUUCCCACUUGUCCUGCAGGGGCUCAGCAGAGAGAUACAGGCCCUGGUGAGUGCACAGGGGCCGCCUGCUGUGCUGCAGAGCGCAGUCCAUAUUUGAGUAAAUGAACAGCUGCUCACCAGUAGAACAGCGGAGGUAGAGAAGCCUCUGAGUACCUUUGGGCACCACGACCUCUUGAAUUUUUGGCAAAUCUGUAGUGGGUUAGCCUUUGCUCCAGUCUCUUGGUUUCUGUGUGGAAGGUUCUGGAAGUUUGCCCUGCCAUCCCAGGACGCUGGGGCUCACUACAUCCUGGCAAUUUGGAGAGGAGAAAUUUGGAGUUUUCUCUAGGAAGCCUUUUCCUCAACAGCCUGUAAUCCUUUAUCGGUAUUCAGUCCUUCCUCAGACCGAAGGACGGAUGGACAAGCAGCCUGAUGGUGUGGGCCCUGAAUUCCAGGAGCAAAACCCUUCUCUCCUUCCCCCCGCCGGGGAAAACUGGACCAUGUCUGAAUGGCACCGUGCUCUCCGCCCACCACCCGGAAACUGGCCUCGCUGGCAAUAGGCGGGAGGGGAGGAAGGCAGAGCUGUUAGAACAUGUCCCCAGAUGCCUCAGCAGCAGGGCAGGUAGUCGGGGUGAGCUGUAGGAACGGAAUGACGUGAGUUUCCCCUUGAUGAAAAUCCCCUGGCCCUGCUAAUGGGCUGUGCAGACAGAGAGGGCGAGGGGUAUAAAGAUGCCGUGGGCAGAGGGACGCCUUCCAGCCCAGGAAACCAAAGAAUCCCGCCCAUUACCUGGAAGCUGCAAGGCCUCCUGCCUCCUGUGGGCGUCAGAGGCACUUUCCAAGAUAGGAAAGCCUCCACCUCCUUUCCCAGGCAGCUGCUUCUGGAGGCCAAGUGGAGGAAUGGGUCGUUUGGGGGUCUCACUGUUCGGCCAUAGGGCUUCAUCAACUCUGCCCAGAAUUUGAGCUGGCGUUAUCAGAGGAGACCUGGACCAGAGAGGGAAGGCCACUUGCCUGAGGCCACACAACAGGGGAGAAGCAGAGCUGGUAUUUGACCUGAGGAGCCCGGAUCCUACCCCACCCAACCUCAUUUCUUAGAAGUUUCCAGCUUGAGGUGUUGAUGGACUUCCUCCUGCUCAGCCAGGACAUCAGGUGGGGUCAUCUAUCCCAACUCUUCUUCUAAGGCUGAGACAGUCUUUCUCAUUUCUCAGGAACUCCCAACAUGCUGGAAAUAGCAGAGAAGACUGCAGCUGUAGGGUAUGACAAGGAGUGAACUCCAGCUCUGGGCCCUGCCACUGGGCAGCUGUGCACUCUGGGGAAGACCCCAGCCUCUCCACUUCAGUGUCCUUGUCCAGUAACAGUGUGGCCAGGCCAGUUGUCCUGCAGUUCCCUAAGGAGCUGUGUUUGGAAUGUCUGACACCUCAAGAAAAAUCGGGCAUUGCUCCCACAAAGGGGAAAUUUCUGGGAUGCAGGCAGAAAUUUGUGCCACUGGUGUUAGGAGGAAGUGGCCUACUGGGUGCAAACUUUGGAGUCCGUUCUGGGGUUCCAAGUUCAAAUCCUGGAUCUGCAAUUAGCAACUAUGUGACCCUGAGUAAGUCACUUCCCUCCUUGUAGUUUUCAGGCACCUUCCUGGGGUCGAAAGGGGACCCAUUUGUUUGUUCGUUCUUUUUUCAACCCGUGUGCGCUGAGCCCUUCUUCUUCAGGCCGUUUCUAGAUGCUGGUGACUGACGGUGAACAAGGUCUGGAGCCAGACGAUAAAGAAGCAGACAAAGGUGUCGCACGUGGGGUGACAGUAAUACACACAUGACAAACUGAAGCAGGUGGGGGCUUCAGAGUGGCGGAAGGGAGAGGCAGGUGGGCAGGAAGACCACUCUGAUGAGGGGACAUCCAGGUGUGAUGUGCAGCCUGAGGUGUGACUUUCUGGAGCAGCUGAACCUGGGACCCCUCAUUCCCCAGAAAAAUAAACUCAGAUCAGGAAUGUCACGGUGGCCAGCUCUGUGUCCCAGGCCCCAGCUUUGGGAUGGCUGGGGGAGGUAUCCACCUCUCUCCAUCCACCAUCAUCUCCUGCCUGGACUAGUGCAGUAGCCCUUCCCUUCUUGGUCCCUUGCUCCCAUCCUGGCCUUCUCCAGUCUGUCCUCCCCUCAGCAUCUCUCUUAGUCCCUCUUGCUGCCAAAACCAAAAACUACAAACUUAGUAGCUUAAAACAACCCUCGUUUCUUCUUUUUCAGUUGUGGAAGUCAGAAGGCAAGCUGUUGGCAGACUGCUUCUGGGGGCUCCACGGGAAGAUCGGUUUCCUCGCCUGUUUCUGCUUCCAGUAGUUGCCUGCAUCUCUCGGUUUACGGCCCCUUUCUCCACUUUCAAGGCAUGUCGCUCCAAUCUCUGCUUCUGUCAUUUUUUCUUCUCUCUGUAGUCAGAUCUCCCUCUGCUCUCGUCUUAUAAAGACUACGGUGAUGACAUUGGCCCGAAUAACUCAAGGUAACCUUUUUAUUUAAGAGCCUUAACUAAUCACAGUUGCAAACUUACUUUUGCCAUAUUAAUCUUCACAGAUUCUGGGGAUUGAGACGUGGACAUCUUUGGGGGGAGGUACUGUUCAGCUAACCAAAGCAUCCAAAGAGAUCCUGUUAGAAUCUAAAUCAGCUGGCCCUGGUGGCUCAAGCCUGGCGGGAAGAUCACUUGAGCUCAGGAAUUCGAGACCAGCCUGAGCAAGAGCAAGACCCCCAUCUCUAUUAAAACAGAAAAAAAAUUAACCAGGCGUUGUGGUGGGCACCUAUAGUCCCAGCUACUUGGGAAGCUGAGGCAUGAGGAUUGCUUGAGCACAAGAGUUUGAAGUUGCUGUGAGAUGUGAUGAUGCCACAACACUCAAUUCCAGGGUGACAAAGUGAGACUUUGUCUCAAAAGAAAAAAAAAAAAUAGAACCUAAAUCAGACCUGGUGCCUCCUCUGCUCAAAAUCCCACCAUGGCUCCCACUAGCCUGCACACUGAUCGCUCCAAUCUCAUCUGCUUCUCUCUUCCACCCUCAUUUGGCUGCAGUCACUGGGCUCCUGGCUGUGCUUCAACGCACCAGGCGAGCGCCUGUCUCAGAGCUUUUGCACAUGCUGUUCCUCUGCCUGGAACUGCCUUCCCCAGGCUGGUCCCUCCUCAUCCUGCUAGCCUCAUCUCAGAGGCGGCCUGCUGGAGAUCGCCUUCUCUGGAGGGGCUUUCCCCCUCUCCACGGUUGCAUUGGGUACAGUCUAAAAUGAUAUUGUUUGUGUAUUUAUUUUCUUAUUUUUUGUCUGCCUUCCCCAUUAGAAUGUCAACUCCAAAGAUGCAGCAGGGGCUGGGCCUGCUGGCUUCUCUGCUAAAUCUCCAGGACCAAGGACAGGGCCUGGUACAUAGUAGGUGCUCAGAACAUACUUGUUCCAUGAGUCCUUGUGUGGUCAAAUGUCCCUGAGUGCUGCUGCAAAUAACAUACAGGUUUAUGUAAAGGCAUUCCCACAUACCUAGUGACUUGUGGGGUUGAUCCCUUUUCUCAGUGAUCAAAGCACUGUCCUCGUGCACCGGAAGGCGGUGAAACAUUGUCUGCAUUGAGCAAUUGAGGACUUGGAAGGGGCUGCGACGGAGGCAGGAGUCCCUUAAGGUGAGUGCUACCAGGAUUGGCAGUGGGGUCUCAUGAUGACAAGCAGGGGUGUGAAGUGGGUCUCUUGGGCAAGUGGCACCCUUUCCCUGUGCCUCAGUUUCCAUAUCUAUAAGAUGGCGAUAACAGAUUUAGCUCCUGGCAGGGUUCUCAGCCUCGGUGCUCUUGACAUUAGGGCCAGACCAUUCUCCACUGUGAGGUUGUCCUGUGCAUUGUGCAGCAGCGAGCAGCACCUCUGAUUUCCAGUAGCUUCUCUCUAGUUGUGACAACCCAACAUGUCCCCACAUACAGCCAGCGCUUCCUGGGGGGCAAGAUCGCCCCCUGCCGAGAUCCGCGGCCCAGCGGCCUUAUGCUGGUGGUUGAAGGAGAUGACUCGUGGCACAUCAGCUGGCGCAGCGGGGCGCUCAGGUGCUCUGGAAAUCAUGGCUGCUCUCUGGUUAACUGGGCGACCGGCCCUGCCACUCCAGAGCAGGUGGCCUUGGGUGAGUGACUCCAGCUCUCGGAGUCUCAGCGUUUUCAUCUGUAAAAUGAGAUAAUAACAGCAUCUAACCUCUUGGGACUGUUGGAAGGGUUAAGUAAAUGAAUCCUGUGGCGUUCUCAGGACUGUGCCUGGCCGGCAGUAAGUGCUCAGUGAAGGGGAAUUCUGAGAAUGAGGAUCAGGGCGAUGAGGCCCCCUGGGAAAAAUGGGGGCAAGACAAGAGGGGUCUUUACCUCUUCACCUUUCCAAAUGCUACCUGUGGUCUCAUGGGCCCUGCACUCGUGGAGGACACACGGACACAGCUGUCCCCACCCAGCAGGGCAGCUGGCUCAGUCCCUCGACCCCGUCAGGCCAUUUAAUAAUUAAGCAGGACAAGGGGUGAUGUGGCUGGAAGGCCAGGAGUGACCAGGGCCUGGCCUUGCUGGGCUUUGGUGACGUGAUGGCCCUGGGAUCAUGGCCUUCUUGAGCCCAUAAACAGGAGGUUGGGCCUCAAGAUAGGCAAGGCCGGGCCAAGGUCUGUGCUGGUAGCCUCACGCUGGACUCAUGCAGGGAGUGGGAAGAGGGGUGCACUAAGGCGACAGGAAAGGGGGGCAACUCUAACCCCCACCUCACUCUCCUUGAGGCCCUCUCAAUUUCCCCUCACUGAGGACUUACUGUGUGCAGAGCAGGGCUCUGCCACGGCACUUUGCGCAGAGUGACACCCUUCUCCCAUCAUGGGGGGCUCUGUCCCCUCUCCAAAUGAGCCAGGGCCUAUUUCUAUGACUCUCAUUGCCUAGACGAUGGGUGGGAGGCUUCCAGAGGGGAGUCACUAGCUCAUGGGGCAAAGCCAGACCCAGUCCCCAGCCCAGGUCUGGGGUCCCUGAAGCACCUGCUCUCAGCCUGCACCACUGCCACGGACAUUGACUCCUCUCUCUGUGCGUCCUCACCCCUCUCUCCCUCUCCUUCUCUCCCUCUCUCUUUCUCUGAAAAUCUUCCUAUUUGUGUUUCUGUCUGGGCUCUCUCUGCUCUUCUGUCUCAGUCUCUCUUUUUCAUGUUAGCCAUCUCUCUCCUUCCUCUGCUUCCUGCCCCGGGUCUCUCCCUCUGUCUCCCGUUGCCUUUUUCUCUCUCUCUCCCCUCCUCUGCCCGCCAGCCUCCCUCUGACUGCCCUGCCUCAUGGCCCUGUCUCUCUGCAGUCAGUUCUUGUCCCAGAGCCAGCACAUUAUGUCCCUGGUCAGACCCUGACGUCAGGCGGGCCUGGCAGGCAGCCAUGGGACACUGCCGGGCAGGCGGGAGGGAGUGCUGGGCUUCCCGGUCCCCACUGUAGUGGCCGCCUGCCUGCCGCCUGGCCCGGCCUGCCUGCCCUCACAGCAGGGCUUUGGAUCUCUUAGCCUGGCCUCAGCUGGCUGGAGGGGGGAGGGCAGGCACUAGGUGGCUACUCAGCCUGCAAGCCAGCGUUGCAGCCUCUCUGCUCACCUUUCCCCUUCCCCCACAGCCAAAGAGACUUGGUCCCAGAGGGGAGACAGUACAGCGGGGAGCUGAGUCCUGGCUGUGUGACCUGAGACAAGUCACUCAGCCUCUCUGAGCCUCAUUUCCCUGGAAACUAAGGCUACUGAGCAUCUGCCUCUCUGGUCUGUAGGGAAGAUCAAUCCACAAAGUGGCUUGCGCAAGCCCACCGCAGGUGCUCAGGCUCUCCAGAGUCUAAACAAACAGUUUUCCUGGCAGAAGUGGGGCUAGGGGUCUGCAUGUCAUAGUGACAGGUCAGCCUCACUGGGGUUUAGUGGGCGGGGAUGUGGCAUGGGGGACAGCCAGGCAGAAGGAGCUCUCCACCCAAAAUACAAAGAGUGCUCUGCCGAGAAACCCUCCCCAAGCCUGGCUGGUCUCAGACCCCAUCAGGGCUUCAAUAAGUGGUUUAAAAAAUGUCAUAUUUCUUGUUGAGUUUGUUUGUUUUCCCCCCUCCGAUUUUCCAAGCAAUGUCAUUUCCUUGAAGGAUAUUUGGAGGGCACCUGAUCAGCCUGGUUUAAAAACAGACUUUAGGAUCAGACAGAUGUGGGGCAAAUGCAGCUGAGUGGCCUGAGGCCAGUGACUUCGCCCUCUGAGCCUCAGUUUCCUCAUCUGUCAAAUGAAAAUAAGACAUGAGAGGGCGGUGAAGAGGAUGAAGCAAAAACACAUUGGUAAAGCACGCAGGAUGGGGUCUCGCCAUGGUAAGUGCUCUAUAUACGGUAGCCUUUUUAACUUUUAAAAAUCCUCCUUAUUUUAAAUAUAGAAGAUACAGAAAAGUACAAAGAAACAAAACAAAAGGUUCCCCGGAGAGAAUCACUCUAAGAUGUUGGUGGGAAUUCUGCUCAGCUACCAUAUUUAUAUGGCGAGCCUACCGUUGCCUGUGUUCUCAUUGUUCAUGGUCAUAAAACUUAACUUGAAGUUUCAUUUUAAAAUAUCUUUAUUAUUAUUUUCUGAACACAUACAUAUUCUAAAGGUUCAAAAGGCAUCCCGUGAGAAUUCUGAGGUUCCCUCGCACCCCAACUUGUGGAAGCAAAUCCAGUCACCUGUUUCUUCUGCAUCCUCGCUUCCCUGGUUUUACAUCAUCUUCAGACACAGGACUAACAAUCUCCCCCUCUCACUGGCCCACCCUCAUUGUGUUGUUUUUUUAAAAUUCACUCAAUUAGAAAGCGUGAUGUUAUAAAAAAAAAUGAGAACCUACAGACAAUCCAGAGAAAGGGGGGCAUAUGGGGGGUGGAGUCACCUGAAAUCUUUACUCCUUGUAUAUUCUGGAGCACGUCUCCAUGGGCUUUUCUCAACUCUUGAUGUGAACAUUAUUGUAGCACCAGGUAUCUUUCCCUAGCACCAAUCAAGUUCAUGAUGACACGUCUGUGCCUGUAUCUGAUCAUUAUCGGCCUUCCCCACUGUGCAGAAAGUGCCAGGAGUCAGCCACAGCCACUGUCUGGGUCUUCCAUAGCCAGUGGUGCGUCGGCACAUAGUUGAUCCAUAAUGGAUAUUUUCUGAAUGAAUGAGUGAAUUUUCAAAAGGGAUCAUGCCAUGUAAUACUAUCCAGUGACCUAUUUUUUUUUUUUUCCACUUAAUAUGUUGGGUACAUCUUUCCACAUCUCUGUGCAGCGAAUCCCCAUUUUUCAUGUCUGCACAGAGUCACCACAAUAAACAUCUUUUGAUGUUGGCCAGAAGCUUCUUCUGCCCCUCACUGGGAAACUCUUUUUCAAACACAGAUCUGUUAACAAAUGCCAUAUGAUCCACCCGCGCCCCAGCCCUUUGGAUGAUUACUCUCAGCCUGACACUUCAUUGGUUACAUGAGCCCAUUGUUUUCUGGGACAAGUCAAGAUUUACUGUCUGUCCCUGACAUCAUGUUUUUCCAGAGAAGCUUAAGAGUGAAGAACUCGACCCUCCCCACCCACUGUUUCCACCAGUUAAAGGUUCUGCAGAUUUGCUGAAGUUGGGAAACUUGCUGUAACCCUUGCCUCCCUGGAGACCGCACCUGAAGAAGCUCACACCAAGCUCAUUUCUACCUCAGAGCCUUUGCACUGGCUGUUCCCUCUGACUAGGGAACCCUUGAAUACGCUUCCCUUGAAUAUUUGCUCAGCUUUUCAGGUCUCUCCUCCAAUGUUACCUUCUCAGAGAGGCAUCCGAGGCCAGGCACGGUAGCUCACACCUAUAAUCCUAGCAUUCUGGGAAGCUGAGGUAGGAGGACCUCUGGAGGACAAGAGUUGAAGAUCAGAGAGGCCUCCUCAACUACCUUUCUAAAUGAGCACCCUAUGCUGCUUAUCUGGUUUCAUAUCUCCUCAUAAGACAUUUGCCACUGCCUGCCAUUGUGUUACAUUACGUCGUGUUAUAUUAUUAUAUUUGGCUUUCUUAUUGAUUGUCUAUCUCCUCCACCAUGAGGACAGAAGAGUCUUGGGCCUCUGUUUUCUUCCCCACAGUAAUCUCCAGCACCUAAAAUAGGACCUGGAGGGCUGUCAGUGCUCAGGAAAUACUGGUUGUAUCAAUAAAUCUGAACUCUAGGACUCCAAGGCUGAUGGCCAAUGCCAUCACUCAUUUAUUCAAUACCUAUUAUUGAGCAUCUACUGUGCUCCAGGGUCUAUCUGGCCGUGGAUGGGCAGACUUGGCCCUCCUCUGGAAGGAGGUGGUCAGUGGCAAUGGAGACGCACAUGCAUCAGAUGACGACAUCCACGGUGAUGUGCAGCUCAGGCAGCAGCGUGAGGACAAAUCUUGGAAUCUGUGAUGUGGGUCCCUUGCAGACCUGGGUAAACCACACAAGCGACUUCAAUGGGAAUAGUAUUUCUCCCUGCUAUUCUGUCACCAUAAGUGGAGGAGAAAUAAAAAAGUGAUACUAGCACUCUUCUGAGCCCACUUAGGUCUUUGCAUGCGGAGCCUACUUUCUGGCUGCCCUGUACCUGGUGUAUACUCCUCAGGGAAUUUCCUGGUACAGAAAGGGCAAGAAAACUUGUCUUCCCAGACUCAAUUGUAGUGUAGGUAUAGGCCUGUGCCUGACAUCCAAUUAGAGGAGAACAAGAAGACAAGAGAGGUCUGGAAGAAAAUCUGGUUCCAAAGAAUGUGGUAGGAGGGUCCUUGGUGGAAGGCAGCCUGCACUGUAAUAAGGCUCAUGGGCCCCACAAAGCUCAGGCCUUGCUCAUGGCUAUGUAGUCUCCAGUCCUGGCCCUGAGAAUCCCCCCUGAAGAUUCCACAAACCACUCAAUAAUCUUUAAUAAACUCCUUUUCUGUGUAAACUAGCCAGAGUGGUGGAUUCUGUUGUUUGCAACUAAGACCCCAUUGGCCAUGUGACAUGGACACCUAGCUGCAAGAGAGUCUGGGAAAUAAGUUUUCCCCUCCCCGGGUGGCCAUAUGGCUAGCAAAAGCUCAUAAUUUCUAUUGUUAAGAAAAAGGGAGAGAUCAGAGAAUUAAGAGGAAACAGGGAUCCUGUCACAAUAGGCAAUAAUUUAAAAUAAUAUCAACUAAGAUUUUGUAAUUAUAUAAAAAAAUGUAAUUUUGUUGAGAACAGCAGGGUUUGAAAUUGUGUCUGGAGUAUGACUGCCACUUUGUAUUAUAAUACAAUUUCAAA